GAUGAACGCUAGCGGCAGGCCUAGUACAUGCAAGUCGAACGGGUGGUCGCAAGACCACUAGUGGCGCACGGGUGCGUAACGCGUAACCAACCUGCCCCGAUCUGGGGGAUAGCCCGCCGAAAGGCGGAUUAAUACCGCAUAUACCCGCAGCCUGGCAUCAGGCAACGGGGAAAGAUUUAUUGGAUCGGGAUGGGGUUGCGUGACAUUAGCUAGUUGGCGGGGUAAGGGCCCACCAAGGCGACGAUGUCUAGGGGACCUGAGAGGGUGAUCCCCCACACUGGCACUGAGAUACGGGCCAGACUCCUACGGGAGGCAGCAGUAGGGAAUAUUGGGCAAUGGGCGAGAGCCUGACCCAGCCAUGCCGCGUGCCGGAUGAAGGCCUUCUGGGUUGUAAACGGCUUUUCUCAGGGAAGAAAAAGACCUUGCGAGGUACACUGACGGUACCUGAGGAAUAAGCACCGGCUAACUCCGUG
Molecule: ribosomal RNA, 473 nt
Filed under: uncultured bacterium
Lineage: Bacteria
Description: partial 16S ribosomal RNA
Rfam family: Bacterial small subunit ribosomal RNA
Source: RNAcentral